UACGUAGGGCGCGAGCGUUGUCCGGAAUUAUUGGGCGUAAAGAGCUCGUAGGCGGUUUGUUGCGUCGGCUGUGAAAUCCCGAGGCUCAACCUCGGGUCUGCAGUCGAUACGAGCAAACUAGAGUGUUGCAGGGGAGACUGGAAUUCCUGGUGUAGCGGUGAAAUGCGCAGAUAUCAGGAGGAACACCGGUGGCGAAGGCGGGUCUCUGGGCAGCAACUGACGCUGAGGAGCGAAAGCGUGGGGAGCGAACAGG
Molecule: ribosomal RNA, 253 nt
Filed under: uncultured bacterium
Lineage: Bacteria
Description: partial 16S ribosomal RNA
Rfam family: Bacterial small subunit ribosomal RNA
Source: RNAcentral